GUGAGUAAUGUCUGGGAAACUGCCUGAUGGAGGGGGAUAACUACUGGAAACGGUAGCUAAUACCGCAUAACGUCGCAAGACCAAAGAGGGGGACCUUCGGGCCUCUUGCCAUCGGAUGUGCCCAGAUGGGAUUACCUAUUAGGUGGGGUAACGGCUCACCUAUGCCACGAUCCCUAACUGGUCUGAGAGGAUGACCAGCCACCCUGGAACUGAGACACGGUCCACACUCCUACGGGAGGCAGCAGGGGGGAAUAUUGCACAAUGGGCGCAAGCCUGAUGCAGCCAUGCCGCGUGUAUGAAGAAGGCCUUCGGGUUGUAAAGUACUUUCAGCGGGGAGGAAGGAGAUAAGGUUAAUAACCUUGUCGAUUGACGUUACCCGCAAAAGAAGCACCGGCUAACUCCGUGCCACCAGCCGCGGUAAUACGGAGGGUGCAAGCGUUAAUCGGAAUUACUGGGCGUAAAGCGCACGCAGGCGGUCUGUCAAGUCGGAUGUGAAAUCCCCGGGCUCAACCUGGGAACUGCAUUCGAAACUGGCAGGCUAGAGUCUUGUAGAGGGGGGUAGAAUUCCAGGUGUAGCGGUGAUAUGCGUAGAGAUCUGGAGGAAUACCGGUGGCGAAUGCGGCCCCCUGGACAAAGACUGACGCUCGAGUGCGAAAGCGUGGGGAGCAAACAUGAUUAGAUACCCUGGUACUCCACGCCGUACACGAUGUCGACUUGGAGGUUGUGCCCUUGAGGCGUGGCUUCCGGAGCUAACGCGUUAACUCGACCGCCUGGGGAGUACGGGCCGCAAGGUUAAAACUCAAAUGAAUUGA
This 812-nucleotide ribosomal RNA is filed under the name Enterobacter hormaechei. RNAcentral's name for it is "bacterial SSU rRNA". It matches the Rfam family "Bacterial small subunit ribosomal RNA", at positions 106 to 913 of the family's 1533-position model. Lineage: Bacteria; Pseudomonadati; Pseudomonadota; Gammaproteobacteria; Enterobacterales; Enterobacteriaceae. The record is from RNAcentral.